Molecule: small nucleolar RNA, 102 nt
Organism: Fusarium fujikuroi IMI 58289
Lineage: Eukaryota; Fungi; Ascomycota; Sordariomycetes; Hypocreales; Nectriaceae
Rfam family: Small nucleolar RNA Z13/snr52
About the family: Z13 or snr52 is a member of the C/D class of snoRNA which contain the C (UGAUGA) and D (CUGA) box motifs. Most of the members of the box C/D family function in directing site-specific 2'-O-methylation of substrate RNAs.
Source: Rfam
UUCUCCCAUAUGAUGAAAUAUUUCGGAUGUAAAACAUUGUCAUUGUCGGAAAGCGCAAAAAAUAAUGUCGAGAUUUCCGUUGCCUUCCUUCUGAUUGGGAUU